GACGAUGAUCCGGUGCUUGCGCCGGGGAUUAGUGGCGAACGGGUGAGUAACACGUGAGUAACCUGCCCUUGACUCUGGGAUAAGCCUGGGAAACUGGGUCUAAUACCGGAUAUGACUCCUCAUCGCAUGGUGGGGGGUGGAAAGCUUUUUGUGGUUUUGGAUGGACUCGCGGCCUAUCAGCUUGUUGGUGGGGUAAUGGCCUACCAAGGCGACGACGGGUAGCCGGCCUGAGAGGGUGACCGGCCACACUGGGACUGAGACACGGCCCAGACUCCUACGGGAGGCAGCAGUGGGGAAUAUUGCACAAUGGGCGAAAGCCUGAUGCAGCGACGCCGCGUGAGGGAUGACGGCCUUCGGGUUGUAAACCUCUUUCAGUAGGGAAGAAGCCCUCUUUGGGGGUGACGGUACUUGCAGAAGAAGCGCCGGCUAACUACGUGCCAGCAGCCGCGGUAAUACGUAGGGCGCAAGCGUUAUCCGGAAUUAUUGGGCGUAAAGAGCUCGUAGGCGGUUUGUCGCGUCUGCUGUGAAAGACCGGGGCUCAACUCCGGUUCUGC
Molecule: ribosomal RNA, 554 nt
Filed under: Arthrobacter sp. V3M41
Lineage: Bacteria; Bacillati; Actinomycetota; Actinomycetes; Micrococcales; Micrococcaceae
Description: bacterial SSU rRNA
Rfam family: Bacterial small subunit ribosomal RNA
Source: RNAcentral